CCCGGUCGAGGAUGGGGACAACAUGGAAACCAUUACGGACGAGAACAGACCAUUGACGCCAAGAGCCAUCCAUCUCCCGAUAGAAGGGUGGGACGCCUCUCUCCUCAAGAGGAGACGGAAAAGGGUACUUCUCCUCUGUCUCGGGAGGAUAAAAUAAGGGAGAGUCCUCUAACACGUGAAUGUUUCGACCACAGGCUUCGGGAGGAAGUUGGGAAGAAUCGUCCGCGGCCAGGGGAGGUGCUUCGACAACAGGGAC
Molecule: long non-coding RNA, 256 nt
Filed under: Zostera marina
Lineage: Eukaryota; Viridiplantae; Streptophyta; Magnoliopsida; Alismatales; Zosteraceae
Description: long non-coding RNA (ZMAR_LNC005039)
Source: RNAcentral